This 343-nucleotide ribosomal RNA is filed under the name uncultured Bacteroidales bacterium. RNAcentral's name for it is "bacterial SSU rRNA". It matches the Rfam family "Bacterial small subunit ribosomal RNA", at positions 75 to 414 of the family's 1533-position model. The record is from RNAcentral. Lineage: Bacteria; Pseudomonadati; Bacteroidota; Bacteroidia; Bacteroidales.
UCAGCUUGCUGACUUUGAUGGCGACCGGCGCACGGGUGAGUAACGCGUAUCCAACCUUCCCUUUACUCGGGGAUAGCCUUUCGAAAGAAAGAUUAAUACCCGAUGCAUUUGUCUUUUCGCAUGAGAGGAUAAAGAAAGAUUCAUCGGUAAAGGAUGGGGGUGCGUUCCAUUAGAUAGUAGGCGGGGUAACGGCCCACCUAGUCAACGAUGGAUAGGGGUUCUGAGAGGAAGGUCCCCCACAUUGGAACUGAGACACGGUCCAAACUCCUACGGGAGGCAGCAGUGAGGAAUAUUGGUCAAUGGGCGCGAGCCUGAACCAGCCAAGUAGCGUGAAGGAUGACGG